Molecule: ribosomal RNA, 492 nt
Filed under: uncultured bacterium
Lineage: Bacteria
Description: partial 16S ribosomal RNA
Rfam family: Bacterial small subunit ribosomal RNA
Source: RNAcentral
AGUGAACGCUGGCGGUAGGCCUAACACAUGCAAGUCGAACGGCAGCACAGUAAGAGCUUGCUCUUACGGGUGGCGAGUGGCGGACGGGUGAGGAAUACAUCGGACUCUACUUUUUCGUGGGGGAUAACGUAGGGAAACUUACGCUAAUACCGCAUACGACCUACGGGUGAAAGCAGGGGAUCUUCGGACCUUGCGCGAUUGAAUGAGCCGAUGUCGGAUUAGCUAGUUGGCGGGGUAAAGGCCCACCAAGGCGACGAUCCGUAGCUGGUCUGAGAGGAUGAUCAGCCACACUGGAACGGAGACACGGUCCAGACUCCUACGGGAGGCAGCAGUGGGAAAUAUUGGACAAUGGGCGCAAUCCUGAUCCAGCCAUACCGCGUGGGUGAAGAAGGCCUUCGGGUUGUAAAGCCCUUUUGUUGGGAAAGAAAAGCAGCAGGUUAAUACCCCGCUGUUCUGACGGUACCCAAAGAAUAAGCACCGGCUAACUUCGUG